AUUUAUUGCAGUGCAACUCCCAACCAUUUGUUUAUCUACCUGUUUCGUUGCUUCGGCAGGCGGCUCUUCGGGGCCUUUGCUACCUGUAGUGCCUGCCGGAGUAUCCAAAACUCUUGUUAUUUUUGUUUUGUCUGAGUAAACUUUUAAUAGUUAAAACUUUCAACAACGGAUCUCUUGGUUCUGGCAUCGAUGAAGAACGCAGCGAAAUGCGAUAAGUAAUGUGAAUUGCAGAAUUCAGUGAAUCAUCGAAUCUUUGAACGCACAUUGCGCCCAUUAGUAUUCUAGUGGGCAUGCCUGUUCGAGCGUCAUUUCAACCCUCAAGCUCUCUUGCUUGGUGUUGGGGCUUCUGCGGCUUCGGCCGCAGGCCCUGAAAAACAGUGGCGGGCUCGCUAUAACUCCGAGCGUAGUAAUCUCUCUCGCUUUGGAAGAGUAACGGGUUCCCGGCCGUUAAACCCCCCAAUUUCUGAAAGUUGACCUCGGAUCAGGUAGGAAUUUCCCGCUUGAACUUAAACCAUAUCAAAAAACGGAGGGCGU
Molecule: ribosomal RNA, 534 nt
Filed under: Coma circularis
Lineage: Eukaryota; Fungi; Ascomycota
Description: eukaryotic LSU rRNA
Rfam family: 5.8S ribosomal RNA (bases 155-308)
Source: RNAcentral